This is a long non-coding RNA of Spinacia oleracea (spinach), 867 nucleotides long. RefSeq lists it as uncharacterized. The record is from RefSeq and is a predicted model, not a curated record. Lineage: Eukaryota; Viridiplantae; Streptophyta; Magnoliopsida; Caryophyllales; Amaranthaceae. The transcript is spliced from 2 exons.
GGAAAAAACCCCUGUUGCAGCCCCCUUGUUGAGGGGGGCAUUUAAAAGCACGCCUCAACAACCCUAAGUCAACGCGGGUCAAAGAUUUCAAAGAGAUGUCGAGGCGGGCUUUUAAUUGUUCGCCUCAAGACAACUCUAUUGGGGCGGGCUUUGGUGUUGUACGCUUCAACCGUUUCAAGGUUGUGAAGCGAACAUUCUAUUGCUCGCUUCAACAGAGUCUCAGCCCGCGAAUUUUAAAGCCCAAUUAAGUAAUACCCAAAUGCCCAACUCACCUCCAUUAUAAUUAGGGUUUUUUCUUAUUUCCUUGGCCGGCCGUUUUUUCUUCUCUCUCCUUAUUUCCUUAUAUUUUUGUGCUUCAACAGAUCCAUCUCUCAUUAUAUUUUUUCAUAAUCAUCUCACUUCUCAUCUUUUUUUCUUGCGAUUUAUUUCAAAUCACCUUAUUUCUCAAUUACAAUUACAAAUUGCGAUUUAGAUUUACAGAUUGUGAUUUAUUUUUUACAACUCAUACAUUUACAGAUUGCGGUUUAUUUUUUCUUGAAAAAAAUAACCAUGGAUUCUUCAACCAUCUCAUUCCCUGUGGCGUUUUCUCUCCAUUUGUGUUUGCGGUUCGUGUUUGCGGUUCACAAAAGAUAGAGAAACCAAAGCUUCGAACCAUCCUCCCUAUUUUCUCGACAUGGUGAUGCUAACAAGGUUUGUCAUGGCUGUGAGAUUUGCAAACAAAUACAUUUUCAAUGGAGUUGUCGAUUUUCUUAGUUUGGAUUUUUCAUAUAUUUGUACUUUGAUUUAUUCAACUUUGUAAGAUAAUAUAGAAACUCAUAUGUACUCCGUAUUUGAUUAAUAAUAAUAAAAAAGUUAAGUAUUUCAAGA